This 985-nucleotide long non-coding RNA is filed under the name Equus caballus (horse). RNAcentral's name for it is "lncRNA (ENSECAG00000055917.1)". Lineage: Eukaryota; Metazoa; Chordata; Mammalia; Perissodactyla; Equidae. The record is from RNAcentral.
GCCUGCAGCUAUGAACUUGAACGUCAGAUCGGAGGGACACACCAGCGUAGUCCCUUGAGACUGUUUAUUGGCCUCUGGAGAGAAAUGGAAAUUUAUUUGCCAGGAAGGAUGAUCCCAUUAUACUUCUGCUGGAACCAGAGCAUGGCCGCCUCCUUGCUGAUUCUGUGUUUGGCUCCAAUGCAGCCUGUCCUGUGCUGCUUGUCUGCGAUGCUGAAAUCUGGCUUACCCAGCUCCACGAAGAAGUCCAGGCUGUAGAUACCAGUGCUUGGGUCAUAUUUGGUGCCCAGAUCAAUGUGUUCCUGAAGCCCAAAACCAAAGUUUCCAAUGUUUGAGAAGUUAUUUUUUCUUAACUUGCAUUCUCGCACCUUCAGAACUAUCUCCAAGAUUUCUUCUGCCUUGGCCUCACAGACUGGUGCACGGCAAUCUUCUCAUUUCUCCUGAUGCCAAAGGACCUGAUGGUUUAUCUAGCUUUGGAGAACACCGGGGUCUGGCUAGUGAGCUGCUUCAGCACCUCGGUGGCCCGGGUCAGUCUGUCCGUGCUCUCCCCUACAUAGAUAUUGAGGCAGAGCUUGCAGAUGCACAGUUCCCACAUGGGGUUCUCCUUUUCACCUCGAUCCUGUGCCAUGGGAGGAACAGGAAGUAAUCUCCUCAUAUUAAAGGCCUGUCUGUGGUCCUUAGUAGACCUAGGGGAGACUUUGAAGAGAUCCAUAUUUUGAGUGCCAAAGACCAUCGUGUACUACUCUGCUGCGGAUUCUGCUAUUCUAUAUUGCAAAGCUCAGAUUUUGAGAAAUAAACCCUAUAAACUUCCCAGAGUGUAGGCAGGAAGGUAAACUUAGAGCUAAACUAACCCAUGUGGAGAAAUAGGAGGAUAGAGACUCACAGUGUGGUCAGAAGAAUGGGGACACUCUAAGUAGAGUCUAGAAUUUGGUGGAUACUUGAGUAGACCUUCCGUGAACAGCGUUUAAUACUUUUCUUCUGGAUAUGG